Cinara cedri is the source of this 321-nucleotide non-coding RNA. The record is from the annotation of a GenBank genome assembly. Lineage: Eukaryota; Metazoa; Arthropoda; Insecta; Hemiptera; Aphididae.
CGGUGAGAAAAACGUCAAGUAUAGAAGAGUAACAGUUAGAGGAGUUACUUUCCGUGAGCGAACCUACGUUUAAAAACAAUAUCACACGGCAACGUGUAUAGGCAAUAUCGCUACACGUACGCGUACAACGUAAAGUUUGAAAUAGUUCUCGAAGAAGAGAUAUUAUAAUCCGUCGGAUUAUAAUAUUAAUUAUCUUUACUAGAGAUAGUAUGUUGAUAACCCUUGCAUUCUGUACAACGUUGUCUUAGUUAAAAGUUUUGCUUGUUGUCAGUUUAAUGUUUGUGUUUAAAAUAUCAAUAACGUACACAUGCGAUUUAUUUG